AACGAACGCUGGCGGCACGCCUAACACAUGCAAGUCGAACGAGGCCCUACCUUCGGGUAGUGAGUCGAGUGGCAAACGGGUGAGUAACGCGUGGGAACCUGCCUUUUAGUGUGGAAUAACAGUUGGAAACGACUGCUAAUACCGCAUACGCCCUUCGGGGGAAAGAUUUAUCGCUGAAAGAUGGUCCCGCGUUUGAUUAGUUUGUUGGUGGGGUAACGGCCUACCAAGACGAUGAUCAAUAGCUGGUCUGAGAGGAUGAUCAGCCACACUGGGACUGAGACACGGCCCAGACUCCUACGGGAGGCAGCAGUGGGGAAUAUUGGACAAUGGAGGAAACUCUGAUCCAGCGAUGCCGCGUGAGUGAUGAAGGCCUUAGGGUUGUAAAACUCUUUCAGUAGGGAAGAUAAUGACUGUACCUACAGAAGAAGCUCCGGCUAACUUCG
Molecule: ribosomal RNA, 443 nt
Filed under: uncultured Alphaproteobacteria bacterium
Lineage: Bacteria; Pseudomonadati; Pseudomonadota; Alphaproteobacteria
Description: bacterial SSU rRNA
Rfam family: Bacterial small subunit ribosomal RNA
Source: RNAcentral